This 253-nucleotide ribosomal RNA is filed under the name uncultured bacterium. RNAcentral describes it as "partial 16S ribosomal RNA". It matches the Rfam family "Bacterial small subunit ribosomal RNA", at positions 524 to 776 of the family's 1533-position model. The record is from RNAcentral.
UACAGGGGGGGCAAGCGUUGUUCGGAAUUACUGGGCGUAAAGGGUUUGUAGGUGGCCACUUAAGUCAGACGUGAAAUCCCUCAGCUUAACUGGGGAACUGCGUCUGAUACUGAGUGGCUUGAGUGCAGGAGAGGAACGCGGAAUUCCAGGUGUAGCGGUGAAAUGCGUAGAUAUCUGGAGGAACACCGAUGGCGAAGGCGGCAUCCUGGACCGGCAUUGACGCUGAGGCGCGAAAGCCAGGGGAGCAAACGGG